UACGGGGGGAGCAAGCGUUGUUCGGAAUCACUGGGCGUAAAGGGCGCGUAGGCGGACGUUUAAGUCGGGGGUGAAAUCCUGAGGCUCAACCUCAGAAUUGCCUUCGAUACUGGGCGUCUCGAGACCGGAAGAGGUGAGUGGAACUGCGAGUGUAGAGGUGAAAUUCGUAGAUAUUCGCAAGAACACCUAUAGCGAAGGCAGCUUACUAGGCUGUAACUGACGCUGAGGCACGAAAGUGUGGGGAUCAAACAGG
RNAcentral lists this ribosomal RNA (253 nucleotides) under uncultured bacterium. RNAcentral describes it as "partial 16S ribosomal RNA". It matches the Rfam family "Bacterial small subunit ribosomal RNA", at positions 524 to 776 of the family's 1533-position model. The record is from RNAcentral.